This 571-nucleotide long non-coding RNA is filed under the name Homo sapiens (human). RNAcentral's name for it is "HSALNT0335604". The record is from RNAcentral. Lineage: Eukaryota; Metazoa; Chordata; Mammalia; Primates; Hominidae.
UUUUCAGGGAAGCGGUAGACAAGUUCCUUCAGCUCAACACGAAGUCACUGGCCCGGCCUGGCACCCAGAGGUGUUGGGGCAUUGAAAUCAGACACGGAUUUCAUUCCAACUGACUGCAUGCUAUAUGCCACAGGUGUCAGAGCUGAUCCAAACAGUGAGACAAAAGUCUUGAGGUUAAAAGACAACGUCCUACUCUACUUUAACCCCGACUUGUCUUCACCGUGUUUUGCAAAGAGUAGAUACUCAUUAACCAGUUGGUGAGAGCUGUUUCUAUAUGACAAGAGACCUCUAGAAAAGUGGAAUCAGGUAACAUCACAGAAAGAGACAAGCAGCAACUAGACAGUGUGUCCUCCUGCUAAAAGUACGUAACGUCAGUUGUGAAGUAGUCCUGUCCCUCUCACCCAGAAAAAGCGCCCAACUCUGACGAAGCUUUCAGGAAAUCUAACUACCAAGGUACACGAAAUACAGAAACAGAAGAGCACGUUAAAUGACACCACAGGCAUGUUUGUUUCUAACUUGGUUUUUUAGUUCUAACCUGUCACUAUUUUAAAAAUUGUAUUGAUAAAUACAA